This 75-nucleotide transfer RNA is filed under the name Opitutaceae bacterium. RNAcentral describes it as "tRNA-Glu". It matches the Rfam family "tRNA". Rfam says of the family: Transfer RNA (tRNA) molecules are approximately 80 nucleotides in length. Their secondary structure includes four short double-helical elements and three loops (D, anti-codon, and T loops). Further hydrogen bonds mediate the characteristic L-shaped molecular structure. tRNAs have two regions of fundamental functional importance: the anti-codon, which is responsible for specific mRNA codon recognition, and the 3' end, to which the tRNAs corresponding amino acid is attached (by aminoacyl-tRNA synthetases). tRNAs cope with the degeneracy of the genetic code in two manners: having more than one tRNA (with a specific anti-codon) for a particular amino acid; and 'wobble' base-pairing, i.e. permitting non-standard base-pairing at the 3rd anti-codon position. The record is from RNAcentral. Lineage: Bacteria; Pseudomonadati; Verrucomicrobiota; Opitutia; Opitutales; Opitutaceae.
GCCCCCAUCGUCUAUCGGUUAGGACGAGGGAUUCUCAUUCCCUAAAGCGGGGUUCGACUCCCCGUGGGGGCGCCA